GAGGCCUAACAACUGCUCUGCAUCUCCGGUGGAAUUUUCCAGUUUGGUGCAAUAUCCUUGGAGUGAAGGAAGGGAGAUCAUAGGAAGAUAAUUUACUUUAGUUAGUUGGGACUGUUCAUAAACCACGCCUCCCAGCCAUUGCCUUCAGUCUCUUUCCGUACAAGGGAAAAACCCUUUCCAGAUGGAGUAGUGCAUUUCUGUCUUGAAAGCCCGCCCUCCAGAUAAAAGUUUCUAUCUCUGCUACC
This 245-nucleotide long non-coding RNA is filed under the name Prunus persica (peach). RNAcentral describes it as "long non-coding RNA (PPER_LNC004607)". Lineage: Eukaryota; Viridiplantae; Streptophyta; Magnoliopsida; Rosales; Rosaceae. The record is from RNAcentral.